Molecule: unclassified non-coding RNA, 378 nt
Filed under: uncultured Actinomycetes bacterium
Lineage: Bacteria; Bacillati; Actinomycetota; Actinomycetes
Description: uncultured actinobacterium contains 16S-23S intergenic spacer region
Source: RNAcentral
UCCGGUUUGGCACCGGCAGUCUUCCUAGAGUCCCCGCCAUUACGCGCUGGCAACAUGGAACGAGGGUUGCGCUCGUUGCGGGACUUAACCCAACAUCUCACGACACGAGCUGACGACAACCAUGCACCACCUGUGAACCGGCCCCGAAGGGAAGGUGUGUUUCCACACCGGUCACGAACAUGUCAAGCCCAGGUAAGGUUCUUCGCGUUGCGUCGAAUUAAACCACAUGCUCCGCUGCUUGUGCGGGCCCCCGUCAAUUCCUUUGAGUUUUAGCCUUGCGGCCGUACUCCCCAGGCGGGGCACUUAAUGCGUUAGCGCCGGCACCCAGGGGGUCGCUCCCCCAGGCACCUAGUGCCCAUCGUUUACGGCGUGGACUAC